RNAcentral lists this transfer RNA (76 nucleotides) under Eubacteriales Family XIII. Incertae Sedis bacterium. RNAcentral describes it as "tRNA-Thr". It matches the Rfam family "tRNA". From Rfam's summary of the family: Transfer RNA (tRNA) molecules are approximately 80 nucleotides in length. Their secondary structure includes four short double-helical elements and three loops (D, anti-codon, and T loops). Further hydrogen bonds mediate the characteristic L-shaped molecular structure. tRNAs have two regions of fundamental functional importance: the anti-codon, which is responsible for specific mRNA codon recognition, and the 3' end, to which the tRNAs corresponding amino acid is attached (by aminoacyl-tRNA synthetases). tRNAs cope with the degeneracy of the genetic code in two manners: having more than one tRNA (with a specific anti-codon) for a particular amino acid; and 'wobble' base-pairing, i.e. permitting non-standard base-pairing at the 3rd anti-codon position. The record is from RNAcentral. Lineage: Bacteria; Bacillati; Bacillota; Clostridia; Peptostreptococcales; Anaerovoracaceae.
GCUACCCUAGCUCAUUCGGUAGAGCAGCUGAUUCGUAAUCAGCAGGUGGGGGGUUCGAUUCCCCCGGGUAGCUCCA